CUGGCGGCGUGCCUAAUACAUGCAAGUCGAACGAGGUGCCUUUGUAGACAAUACGAGGGUAUCCUAGUGGCGAACGGGUGAGUAACGCGUUGGUGACCUGCCCCCGAAGUGUGGGAUAACAGUCCGAAAGGGCUGCUAAUACCGCAUGCGGUCAUCGGGUUUAGAAGCCGAUGACCAAAGCAGCAAUGCGCUUUGGGAGGGACCUGCGUCCCAUCAGCUAGUUGGUAGGGUAACGGCCUACCAAGGCUACGACGGGUAGGGGACCUGAGAGGGUGACCCCCCACAAUGGAACUGAAAUACGGUCCAUACACCUACGGGUGGCAGCAGUAGGGAAUAUUGCACAAUGGGCGAAAGCCUGAUGCAGCAAAACCGCCGCGUGCACGAUGAAGGUCUUCGGAUCGUAAAGUGCUUUUCUGGGAGAUGAGAAUGGACAGUAUCCCAGGAAUAAGUCUCGGCUAACUACGUGCCAGCCGCCGC
This 477-nucleotide ribosomal RNA is filed under the name uncultured bacterium. RNAcentral's name for it is "bacterial SSU rRNA". It matches the Rfam family "Bacterial small subunit ribosomal RNA", at positions 36 to 518 of the family's 1533-position model. The record is from RNAcentral.